Molecule: ribosomal RNA, 115 nt
Filed under: Caerostris darwini
Lineage: Eukaryota; Metazoa; Arthropoda; Arachnida; Araneae; Araneidae
Source: RNAcentral
AACGGCCGUACCAUGCUGAAUAUACCGGUUCUCGUUAGAUCACAGAAGUCAAGCAUCAUUGGGCGGGGUCAGUACUUGGGUGGGUGACCACCACCUGAGAACAUCGCGUGCCGUU